GAUGAAGAACGUAGCGAAAUGCGAUAAGUAAUGUGAAUUGCAGAAUUCAGUGAAUCAUCGAAUCUUUGAACGCACAUUGCGCCCGCCAGUAUUCUGGCGGGCAUGCCUGUCCGAGCGUCAUUUCAACCCUCGAACCCCUCCGGGGGGUCGGCGUUGGGGAUCGGCCCUUUCACCGGGUGCCGGCCCCUAAAUACAGUGGCGGUCUCGCCGCAGCCUCUCAUGCGCAGUAGUUUGCACACUCGCACCGGGGGCGCGGCGCGUCCACGUCCGUAAAACACCCCAACUUCUGAAAUGUUGACCUCGGAUCAGGUAGGAAUACCCGCUGAACUUAAGCAUAUCAAUAAGCGGAGGA
Molecule: unclassified non-coding RNA, 352 nt
Filed under: soil metagenome
Description: partial contains 5.8S ribosomal RNA, internal transcribed spacer 2, and large subunit ribosomal RNA
Rfam family: 5.8S ribosomal RNA (bases 1-120)
Source: RNAcentral